Molecule: ribosomal RNA, 3056 nt
Filed under: Campylobacter jejuni
Lineage: Bacteria; Pseudomonadati; Campylobacterota; Epsilonproteobacteria; Campylobacterales; Campylobacteraceae
Description: 23S ribosomal RNA
Rfam family: Bacterial large subunit ribosomal RNA
Source: RNAcentral
AGGUAAGCUACUAAGAGCGAAUGGUGGAUGCCUUGACUGGUAAAGGCGAUGAAGGACGUACUAGACUGCGAUAAGCUACGGGGAGCUGUCAAGAAGCUUUGAUCCGUAGAUUUCCGAAUGGGGCAACCCAAUGUAUAGAGAUAUACAUUACCUAUAUAGGAGCGAACGAGGGGAAUUGAAACAUCUUAGUACCCUCAGGAAAAGAAAUCAAUAGAGAUUGCGUCAGUAGCGGCGAGCGAAAGCGCAAGAGGGCAAACCCAGUGCUUGCACUGGGGGUUGUAGGACUGCAAUGUGCAAGAGGUAAGUUUAGCAGAACAUUCUGGAAAGUAUAACCAUAGAGGGUGAUAGUCCCGUAUGCGAAAAACAAACCUUAGCUAGCAGUAUCCUGAGUAGGGCGGGACACGAGGAAUCCUGUCUGAAUCCGGGUCGACCACGAUCCAACCCUAAAUACUAAUACCAGAUCGAUAGUGCACAAGUACCGUGAGGGAAAGGUGAAAAGAACUGAGGUGAUCAGAGUGAAAUAGAACCUGAAACCAUUUGCUUACAAUCAUUCAGAGCCCUAUGUAGCAAUACAGGGUGAUGGACUGCCUUUUGCAUAAUGAGCCUGCGAGUUGUGGUGUCUGGCAAGGUUAAGCAAACGCGAAGCCGUAGCGAAAGCGAGUCUGAAUAGGGCGCUUAGUCAGAUGCUGCAGACCCGAAACGAAGUGAUCUAUCCAUGAGCAAGUUGAAGCUAGUGUAAGAACUAGUGGAGGACUGAACCCAUAGGCGUUGAAAAGCCCCGGGAUGACUUGUGGAUAGGGGUGAAAGGCCAAUCAAACUUCGUGAUAGCUGGUUCUCUCCGAAAUAUAUUUAGGUAUAGCGUUGUGUCGUAAUAUAAGGGGGUAGAGCACUGAAUGGGCUAGGGCAUACACCAAUGUACCAAACCCUAUCAAACUCCGAAUACCUUAUAUGUAAUCACAGCAGUCAGGCGGCGAGUGAUAAAAUCCGUCGUCAAGAGGGAAACAACCCAGACUACCAGCUAAGGUCCCUAAAUCUUACUUAAGUGGAAAACGAUGUGAAGUUACUUAAACAACCAGGAGGUUGGCUUAGAAGCAGCCAUCCUUUAAAGAAAGCGUAAUAGCUCACUGGUCUAGUGAUUUUGCGCGGAAAAUAUAACGGGGCUAAAGUAAGUACCGAAGCUGUAGACUUGCACACAACUUAGAUUAUUUAAGUUUAGAAUAUGAGAAACUAAGUUAUAUGUUUAGUUAUAUUUUUACUGAUUUUUAUAGAGUAAAGAUAGAAAUAAAACUUAGUAAAAUCAGUAAAAAUAUUCUUAGACUAAAGUUAAGUAGUUUAAGUUGUGUGCAAGUGGUAGGAGAGCGUUCUAUUUGCGUCGAAGGUAUACCGGUAAGGAGUGCUGGAGCGAAUAGAAGUGAGCAUGCAGGCAUGAGUAGCGAUAAUUAAUGUGAGAAUCAUUAACGCCGUAAACCCAAGGUUUCCUACGCGAUGCUCGUCAUCGUAGGGUUAGUCGGGUCCUAAGUCGAGUCCGAAAGGGGUAGACGAUGGCAAAUUGGUUAAUAUUCCAAUACCAACAUUAGUGUGCGAUGGAAGGACGCUUAGGGCUAAGGGGGCUAGCGGAUGGAAGUGCUAGUCUAAGGUCGUAGGAGGUUGUACAGGCAAAUCCGUAUAACAAUACUCCGAGAACUGAAAGGCUUUUUGAAGUCUUCGGAUGGAUAGAAGAACCCCUGAUGCCGUCGAGCCAAGAAAAGUUUCUAAGUUUAGCUAAUGUUGCCCGUACCGUAAACCGACACAGGUGGGUGGGAUGAGUAUUCUAAGGCGCGUGGAAGAACUCUCUUUAAGGAACUCUGCAAAAUAGCACCGUAUCUUCGGUAUAAGGUGUGGUUAGCUUUGUAUUAGGAUUUACUCCGAAAGCAAGGAAACUUACAACAAAGAGUCCCUCCCGACUGUUUACCAAAAACACAGCACUCUGCUAACUCGUAAGAGGAUGUAUAGGGUGUGACGCCUGCCCGGUGCUCGAAGGUUAAUUGAUGGGGUUAGCAUUAGCGAAGCUCUUGAUCGAAGCCCGAGUAAACGGCGGCCGUAACUAUAACGGUCCUAAGGUAGCGAAAUUCCUUGUCGGUUAAAUACCGACCUGCAUGAAUGGCGUAACGAGAUGGGAGCUGUCUCAAAGAGGGAUCCAGUGAAAUUGUAGUGGAGGUGAAAAUUCCUCCUACCCGCGGCAAGACGGAAAGACCCCGUGGACCUUUACUACAGCUUGACACUGCUACUUGGAUAAGAAUGUGCAGGAUAGGUGGGAGGCUUUGAGUAUAUGACGCCAGUUGUAUAUGAGCCAUUGUUGAGAUACCACUCUUUCUUAUUUGGGUAGCUAACCAGCUUGAGUUAUCCUCAAGUGGGACAAUGUCUGGUGGGUAGUUUGACUGGGGCGGUCGCCUCCCAAAUAAUAACGGAGGCUUACAAAGGUUGGCUCAGAACGGUUGGAAAUCGUUCGUAGAGUAUAAAGGUAUAAGCCAGCUUAACUGCAAGACAUACAAGUCAAGCAGAGACGAAAGUCGGUCUUAGUGAUCCGGUGGUUCUGUGUGGAAGGGCCAUCGCUCAAAGGAUAAAAGGUACCCCGGGGAUAACAGGCUGAUCUCCCCCAAGAGCUCACAUCGACGGGGAGGUUUGGCACCUCGAUGUCGGCUCAUCGCAUCCUGGGGCUGGAGCAGGUCCCAAGGGUAUGGCUGUUCGCCAUUUAAAGCGGUACGCGAGCUGGGUUCAGAACGUCGUGAGACAGUUCGGUCCCUAUCUGCCGUGGGCGUAAGAAGAUUGAAGAGAUUUGACCCUAGUACGAGAGGACCGGGUUGAACAAACCACUGGUGUAGCUGUUGUUCUGCCAAGAGCAUCGCAGCGUAGCUAAGUUUGGAAAGGAUAAACGCUGAAAGCAUCUAAGCGUGAAGCCAACUCUAAGAUGAAUCUUCUCUAAGCUCUCUAGAAGACUACUAGUUUGAUAGGCUGGGUGUGUAAUGGAUGAAAGUCCUUUAGCUGACCAGUACUAAUAGAGCGUUUGGCUUAUCUUU